Long non-coding RNA from Cyprinus carpio (common carp), 1026 nucleotides. RefSeq lists it as uncharacterized. NCBI's taxonomy places the organism in Eukaryota, Metazoa, Chordata, Actinopteri, Cypriniformes, Cyprinidae. The transcript is spliced from 2 exons. The record is from RefSeq and is a predicted model, not a curated record.
CACACACACACACACACUGAAAAAAAUUACUUUGUAAUGUUGUAAAAUAUAUUAAAUUAACCAUCAUAAGUUCUACUUGUAAUAUUGAAAUUCAAGAGCAACAACAAUUUUCUAAGUAAAAUGUUCACAUUUAAUUCAUGUAAUUAAUGAUCUGCGGGUGAAGAGUAACUAUUCUUUAUCUACUUGCCUGAAUUUUAAUCUAAAAGUAUAGCGCGCUUGAAUCUGCCGAUGCGUGUUUGAUCAAGACACUCUACCUGCGCUUUGAAUCAGAGACAGAUGGUUGGGCUUGUCAUGGAGGUGAUGCAUGGCUGGAUUUUCUCAUGUUUAAGGGUGACCUAACUCCAAUACACACUUGAGGUGUGGGGAGGAAGACAGACUGAUGCUUUUCAUGUUGGAUGCAGUUUUGGCUAUAUCAAUACUACCUAGUUCUGUCAGGUUAAAACCCCAUCUUGUUCUGUUUAAGUAAUUUGUUUUUUAUUUUAUACCUCCUGGGGUCAAAACUGUGUAUGGUGCAGCAAAUGCAGUUUAUGUUGGUAAUAGAAAUUGAAUUGUAUUACAGAACAGCAGACACUUGAAGUAGCAUUCAGCCAUACUUACGUUUUUUAUCAUUUUAUUCGCUAUUUUUUAUUUACUUUGAUUCACUUUUUUAUGUUGAAAAAAUAAACUAUUUAAUUCUAUUUUAGUUGUGUGAUUUGUGAUUAAAGGUAUAGACCAGAUGUUCUCAAUGCUGGCACUCGAGGUGCUUAGCUUGUUCAGGUGUUUGAUUAGGGUUAGAGCUAAACUCUACAUGAAAGUUGGAACUCCUGGUAUAGACAAAAUGAAUAUAGUUUAUGUGGUUAUAUUAAUCAAAAAGAAAUUAGCGAUUUUUACAUAAUUGUAGGGAGUAAUAUAUAUUCAGCAAACGAAGUAAAUGGAAAUAUCGAACAAAAACAAAAAACAAAAUCUACUUAUAUACUUCAGUAAACAGAAAUGUACUUAAUAUUUUGUUAAAUACAAUGAAAAAAAAAAAAAAGUGACAAAGUGAUG